GCGACCAUGGCGCAGUAGGCAGCGCAUAAGGCUCAUAAUCUUAAGAGCGUGAGUUCGAGCCUCACUGGUCGCA
Molecule: non-coding RNA, 73 nt
Organism: Symsagittifera roscoffensis
Lineage: Eukaryota; Metazoa; Xenacoelomorpha; Acoela; Convolutidae
Source: the annotation of a RefSeq genome assembly